Molecule: ribosomal RNA, 1409 nt
Filed under: metagenome
Description: bacterial LSU rRNA
Rfam family: Bacterial large subunit ribosomal RNA
Source: RNAcentral
GAGGGAUUCCGUAGCCUCCGAAAAGUAAAGCACAGGGACGCUUCAGAAGUGUUACGCCGGGCGAUGGUAGCCCCGGUUGUAAAGGACACAAUUGAGUGGAAGGUAACAUGGAUGGAGACAAGAAAAGCUGUGUGUAUCUGGAAGGAGCCCGUACCGCAAACCGACACAGGUAGAUAGGGAGAAGAUUCUAAGGCCAGCGGGAGAAGGGUUGUUAAGGAACUCGGCAAGUUGACCCCGUAACUUCGGGAGAAGAGGUGCUUACGAAGGUAAGCCGCAGAGAAUAGGCCCAAGCGACUGUUUAGCAAAAACACAGCUCUAUGCUAAAUCGAAAGAUGACGUAUAUGGGGUGACACCUGCCCGGUGCUGGAAGGUUAAGAGGAGAUGUGAGAGCAUUGAAUUGAAGCCCCAGUAAACGGCGGCCGUAACGAUAACGGUCCUAAGGUAGCGAAAUUCCUUGUCAGGAAAGUUCUGACCCGCACGAAUGGUGUAACGAUUUGGGCACUGUCUCAACAACCUACCCGGCGAAAUUGUAGUACCGGUGAAGAUACCGGUUACCCGCGACUAGACGGAAAGACCCCAUGGAGCUUCACUGUAGCUUAAUAUUGAAUUUUGGUAUUUCAUGUACAGGAUAGGUGGGAGACUGGGAAAUACAGGCGUCAGCUUGUAUGGAGUCACUGUUGGGAUACCACUCUUGAGGUGCUGAAAUUCUAACCUGCGUCUUUGAAUCAAGACGGGGGACAUUGUUAGGUGGGCAGUUUGACUGGGGCGGUCGCCUCCAAAAGAGUAACGGAGGCGCUCAAAGGUUCGCUCAGCAUGGACGGAAACCAUGCCAAAGAGUGCAAACGCAAAAGCGAGCCUAACUGCGAGACUGACGGGUCGAGCAGUAACGAAAGUUGGAGUUAGUGAUCCGGCGGUAUGUGAGUGGAAAUGCCGUCGCUCAACGGAUAAAAGCUACCCUGGGGAUAACAGGCUGAUCUCCCCCAAGAGUCCACAUCGACGGGGAGGUUUGGCACCUCGAUGUCGGCUCAUCGCAUCCUGGGGCUGAAUUCGGUCCCAAGGGUUUGGCUGUUCGCCAAUUAAAGCGGUACGCGAGCUGGGUUCAGAACGUCGUGAGACAGUUCGGUCCCUAUCUGUCGUGGGCGUAGGAUAUUUGAAAGGAGCUGUCCCUAGUACGAGAGGACCGGGAUGGACGCACCUCUGGUGAACCAGUUGUCACGCCAGUGGCACGGCUGGGCAGCUAAGUGCGGAACGGAUAAACGCUGAAAGCAUCUAAGCGUGAAGCCGACCUUAAGAUAAGAUAUCCGUUCUUCGGAAUAAGACCCCUUGUAGACUACGAGGUUGAUAGGCUUAAAGUGUAAGCAUGGUGACAUGUUUAGCUUGCAAGUACAAAUCGGUCGAUUGCUUUUCCG